CCUGGUAGCUCAGUCAGUAAAGAAUCUGCCUGCAGUGCAGGAGACCCAGGUUCAAUCCCUGGGUCAGGA
Molecule: transfer RNA, 69 nt
Filed under: Bos taurus (domestic cattle)
Lineage: Eukaryota; Metazoa; Chordata; Mammalia; Artiodactyla; Bovidae
Also listed under: 6 other names
Rfam family: tRNA
About the family: Transfer RNA (tRNA) molecules are approximately 80 nucleotides in length. Their secondary structure includes four short double-helical elements and three loops (D, anti-codon, and T loops).
Source: Rfam by way of RNAcentral